GUAUUUUUAGGUAGUACGUACAUUAAUGAAUUCACUCACUCAAUCACUCACUCACUCACUCACAGGAAGAUAAGACACUGGACCUGAGAUCAGUAGGGCCUCAGCACCAUGCCAGGUACCUGCAGGGCACAUUUUGAAUUUGACUGUUAACCUUUAUUGAAAUCAGGAUAAGGCUAGGAUUAUGUUAUGUAUUUCA
This is a long non-coding RNA of Sander lucioperca (pikeperch), 196 nucleotides long. RefSeq lists it as uncharacterized. The transcript has 2 exons. NCBI's taxonomy places the organism in Eukaryota, Metazoa, Chordata, Actinopteri, Perciformes, Percidae. The record is from RefSeq and is a predicted model, not a curated record.